This is a long non-coding RNA of Numida meleagris (helmeted guineafowl), 1506 nucleotides long. RefSeq lists it as uncharacterized. The transcript has 2 exons. The record is from RefSeq and is a predicted model, not a curated record. Lineage: Eukaryota; Metazoa; Chordata; Aves; Galliformes; Numididae.
GGAUGGGGAGGGGUGAGGCCUGUGGCCGUGCGGCUGGAAGGAGCGAGGAGGCUCGGGGAAUCCUCGCUCCGGGUCCGGAACGUCCCGCGAGGCUGAGACUCGGAGGAGGAAAUGCAUUGAGACCCAUCCUGAUCACAUCUGCUGCCUGACCUGCAACCACUCCACGCCUCCAAGCACUCCAACUAGGGUAUGAAUGCACUGCCAGCAGGACAGGAGUGCACCCCAGCUCACAUCGGCCCAUUUGGAGACAUAUGGUUUUGUGCUGAUCACAUCCCUGCUGCGGGGGCCAUGCGCUGGCCAAGUCCUGCAGCCCCCCAGGAGCUGGGAGCCAUCCUGUAGGGGAGAGGGUCUCACUGAGCCUUGCCCACAGCCCCCUGUACCUGGGAAGCUGUGUGGUCCUGCCUGCAGCCCAUGUGCCCGAGCCCCUGUGGCCUCGUGCUGCGCCCUGCUUUCCCUGCGUGGGAGUCUCACUCGCGGGAGGAGCUGCUGGCGGCUGCUUGCCCAAGUCCCACAGCCCCCCACCCUGGGUCACUCCCAUUAGGUAAAGGAGCAGCUCGUCUUGGCGGGGGUAUCUCCCUCUUGUGCUUUCCUUGUAUUGUACGGGCCUGGGUCAUCGAGGAAAUCUUACAGGUCCUUCUGCUGCCGAGUGGUCACUGGGGAAGCCCGGCCCCCUUCCCCCCAUUGUCAGCAGCCGGGCUGUAUCCUCACUCCGAGCCCCGGCCCCUAAAAAUAGCUCUUUGUCAGGCGAUUGUUCCGACACCUUCACGGCGGCAUUGACGUGGGCUGGAGCAGGACAGAGAUGGGGUAGGUGGAGGGGAAGGGCUGGAGGUCUCCCCUGGGACCACUCUGAGUAUUUGCCACUGAUAACAGCUCCUGUUGGGGGAAAUGGGCUCCAGGCACGUGGCUCUGUGCCGAAGGCCUCUCUGCAUGCUGCUGCCUGCCCAUCACCUCUCCCCCACCUGUCCCUGCUUCAUGUUCAUCCUGGGUGCGCAGGUGACCCUGCUGCAUGUGGGAUCAGAGCCCACCCAGGGCUCCAGCUUGGAUCCUGCAGCAAGGUGCUGGACCUGGUGUGGGGUCCAGCCUGACACCUCCAGACCAUUACCCCAAGGAAUGCCAUGUGUCCAUUGCAAUGUGGUCACUGCAGGCAGGAGUCUGCCCUGCUGGGGAGUGGGGUGGGAUGGAAAGAUCCCACUACGUUUUGGCCAAGCUAACCCAACCCUGCAGGGCUGUCACUGUUGGGUAGGACGAAGUGUGCCCCGUGGUGCUGCCAGGAGCUUCUGGCCCUGCAGCCUAGAGCUGGGGUGUCACACUGCUUGGUGGGGUCCCUCGCACCGCAGGUGGACCCCUCUCUGCUUGUCCCCCUUUGUCCCCUGCUACCUCUCUCCCUGUCAGCUGGAGGUGGCCGUGCCCCCAGGGACCUCUCCUGCCCAACCACCCCAGCUGCAGUAGUGUUUUAUUUCCCAUGAGUUUGAGCAGGUCUGGAUUAAAAUAAACUGCUGGCCCAGA